AUCCAGCUGACGUGUCCCAGAUAGAACGAAACGUGCAUCCUGGAU
Non-coding RNA from Schistosoma rodhaini, 45 nucleotides. The record is from Rfam. NCBI's taxonomy places the organism in Eukaryota, Metazoa, Platyhelminthes, Trematoda, Strigeidida, Schistosomatidae.